GGUUAAGCGACUAAGCGUACACGGUGGAUGCCCUGGCAGUCAGAGGCGAUGAAGGGCGUGCUAAUCUGCGAUAAGCGCCGGUAAGGUGAUAUGAACCGUUAUAACCGGCGAUACCCGAAUGGGGAAACCCAGUGUGACUCGUCACACUAUCAUUAACUGAAUCCAUAGGUUAAUGAGGCGAACCGGGGGAACUGAAACAUCUAAGUACCCCGAGGAAAAGAAAUCAACCGAGAUUCCCCCAGUAGCGGCGAGCGAACGGGGAGGAGCCCAGAGCCUGAAUCAGCAUGUGUGUUAGUGGAAGCGUC
Molecule: ribosomal RNA, 305 nt
Filed under: Salmonella enterica
Lineage: Bacteria; Pseudomonadati; Pseudomonadota; Gammaproteobacteria; Enterobacterales; Enterobacteriaceae
Also listed under: 2 other names
Description: partial 23S ribosomal RNA
Rfam family: Bacterial large subunit ribosomal RNA
Source: RNAcentral